AUACGGAGGGUGCAAGCGUUAAUCGGAAUUACUGGGCGUAAAGAGUACGUAGGUGGUUUGUUAAGUCAGAUGUGAAAGCCCCGGGCUCAACCUGGGAACUGCAUUUGAAACUGGCAAACUAGAGUAUGGUAGAGGGGGGUAGAAUUUCUAGUGUAGCGAUGAAAUGCGUAGAUAUUAGAAGGAAUACCAGUGGCGAAGGCGGCCCCCUGGACCAAUACUGACACUGCGGUACGAAAGCGUGGGUAGCGAACAGGAUUAGAUACCCUAGUAGUCC
This 274-nucleotide ribosomal RNA is filed under the name uncultured bacterium. RNAcentral's name for it is "partial 16S ribosomal RNA". It matches the Rfam family "Bacterial small subunit ribosomal RNA", at positions 523 to 796 of the family's 1533-position model. The record is from RNAcentral.